UACGGGGGGGUAAGCGUUGUUCGGAAUUACUGGGCGUAAAGGGCUCGUAGGCGGCCAACUAAGUCGGACGUGAAAUCCCUCAGCUUAACUGGGGAACUGCGUCCGAUACUGGAUGGCUUGGAUUUGGGAGAGGGAUGCGGAAUUCCAGGUGUAGCGGUGAAAUGCGUAGAUAUCUGGAGGAACACCGGUGGCGAAGGCGGCAUCCUGGACCAAUAUUGACGCUGAGGAGCGAAAGCCAGGGGAGCAAACAGG
This 252-nucleotide ribosomal RNA is filed under the name uncultured bacterium. RNAcentral describes it as "partial 16S ribosomal RNA". It matches the Rfam family "Bacterial small subunit ribosomal RNA", at positions 524 to 776 of the family's 1533-position model. The record is from RNAcentral.